GCGUUCACUUUGGCAGCACAUAUAAUAAAAAUUGAAACACUACAGAGAAGUUUAGCAUAGGCCCUGUGCAAAGAUAACAUACAAAUUUGUGAAGUGUUCCAUAUUUUU
Molecule: small nuclear RNA, 108 nt
Organism: Arvicola amphibius (Eurasian water vole)
Lineage: Eukaryota; Metazoa; Chordata; Mammalia; Rodentia; Cricetidae
Source: RefSeq, a predicted model, not a curated record